Molecule: ribosomal RNA, 253 nt
Filed under: uncultured bacterium
Lineage: Bacteria
Description: partial 16S ribosomal RNA
Rfam family: Bacterial small subunit ribosomal RNA
Source: RNAcentral
UACGUAGGGUGCGAGCGUUGUCCGGAAUUACUGGGCGUAAAGAGCUCGUAGGUGGUUUGUCGCGUUGUUCGUGAAAACUCACAGCUCAACUGUGGGCGUGCGGGCGAUACGGGCAGACUGGAGUACUGCAGGGGAGACUGGAAUUCCUGGUGUAGCGGUGGAAUGCGUAGAUAUCGAGAGGAACACCUGCGGCGAAGGCGGGUUGCUGGGCUGACACUGACGCUGAUGCGCGAAAGCCAGGGGAGCGAACGGG